AGUUUUAUGUUCUGUGUAUUUUACCACAAUUAAAAAUAACAAAAUAAUAAUGUGGCUACAUUGAGACACAAGUUAUGCUUCCAUCACAGUAAGUUUAUUGCAGUGGUGACAAUGAGACCUGUAACAUUU
Non-coding RNA from Pteropus alecto (black flying fox), 129 nucleotides. Lineage: Eukaryota; Metazoa; Chordata; Mammalia; Chiroptera; Pteropodidae. The record is from Rfam.